RNAcentral lists this ribosomal RNA (439 nucleotides) under uncultured bacterium. RNAcentral describes it as "partial 16S ribosomal RNA". It matches the Rfam family "Bacterial small subunit ribosomal RNA", at positions 338 to 794 of the family's 1533-position model. The record is from RNAcentral.
CCUACGGGUGGCAGCAGUGGGGAAUAUUGGACAAUGGGGGGAACCCUGAUCCAGCGACGCCGCGUGAGUGAAGAAGUAUUUCGGUAUGUAAAGCUCUAUCAGCAGGGAAGAAAAUGACGGUACCUGACUAAGAAGCCCCGGCUAACUACGUGCCAGCAGCCGCGGUAAUACGUAGGGGGCAAGCGUUAUCCGGAUUUACUGGGUGUAAAGGGAGCGUAGACGGUGCAGCAAGUCUGAUGUGAAAGGUCGGGGCCCAACCCCGGGACUGCAUUGGAAACUGUUGAACUGGAGUACAGGAGAGGUAAGCGAACUUCCUGGUGUGGCGGUGAAGUGGGUGGAUGUUAGGAGGAACACCAGUGGCGAGGGCGGCUUACUGGACUGUAACUAACGUUGGGGCUCGAACGCGUGGGGGGCAAACCGAAUUCGGUACCCCUGUCGU